RNAcentral lists this ribosomal RNA (465 nucleotides) under uncultured bacterium. RNAcentral describes it as "partial 16S ribosomal RNA". It matches the Rfam family "Bacterial small subunit ribosomal RNA", at positions 28 to 507 of the family's 1533-position model. The record is from RNAcentral.
GACGAACGCUGGCGGCGUGCUUAACACAUGCAAGUCGAACGGAAAGGCCCUGCUUGCAGGGUACUCGAGUGGCGAACGGGUGAGUAACACGUGGGUGAUCUGCCCUGCACUUCGGGAUAAGCCUGGGAAUCUGGGUCUAAUACCGGAUAGGAGCCAUUUUUAGUGUGAUGGUUGGAAAGUUUUUUCGGUGUAGGAUGAGCUCGCGGCCUAUCAGCUUGUUGGUGGGGUAAUGGCCUACCAAGGCGGCGACGGGUAGCCGGCCUGAGAGGGUGGACGGCCACAUUGGGACUGAGAUACGGCCCAGACUCCUACGGGAGGCAGCAGUGGGGAAUAUUGCACAAUGGGCGCAAGCCUGAUGCAGCGACGCCGCGUGGGGGAUGACGGCCUUCGGGUUGUAAACUCCUUUCGCUAGGGACGAAGCUUUUUGUGACGGUACCUAGAUAAGAAGCACCGGCUAACUACGUG